This 490-nucleotide long non-coding RNA is filed under the name Malus domestica (apple). RNAcentral's name for it is "long non-coding RNA (MDOM_LNC012210)". The record is from RNAcentral. Lineage: Eukaryota; Viridiplantae; Streptophyta; Magnoliopsida; Rosales; Rosaceae.
GCCGUUGGAUUCAAUAAAUCCUGAGAGACAUGCCCAUGUGGGUGGGGUCCUAUUGGUGGUGCCCACACCAUUUUUUGGGCUAAAUCUUGGAUGUAAUUUGACUUUUAUUUGACCUUUAGCUUUUGGACCACACAUUUAAUAUGGUUGAGUUGGAUUUGGGGAGGGAAUAAAACCUAAAAAAUAACAUUUAGCCUAGGGUUGAGUUUGGUCUUAUGGGGUACAUUUUCUUCUCGUAGGUAGAUUAUUUUCUUUGUAUGGGUAAAUUUUAUCUCGUUGGUGUAUUUCAUUGUAUUGGGGUCCAUUUUUUUCGUAUGAAAUCAAAAUUUGUUUUAAAUUCAAAUUCAAGGGAUCAUGUAGAUCUCUAAACAAGAGGAAAUGAAUAAUGGGACACUUUGGAUGCGGUCCCUAGCUAUCAAUAUUCUUUGAUUGAAACCUUGUUAGUUUUUAGUUUUUGAUUGAGGUCCCUGAUAUUAAUGUAAUAAUGUAAGUU